This 1388-nucleotide long non-coding RNA is filed under the name Mus musculus (house mouse). Its description in RNAcentral is "long non-coding RNA chr18:13854008-13855396". Lineage: Eukaryota; Metazoa; Chordata; Mammalia; Rodentia; Muridae. The record is from RNAcentral.
GUUGCUGAAGCCAGACAGAAGGAAGAGUCGUUUCCAGUGAUGCCGGUUUGAGGUGGGGAGGAGGGGUGAGAACGGCUUUGCUUUUCCGAUCUCUUGGCUCCAUUAAAACUAUAUGUCACUAAUGCUAAGCACCAACUUCUGGCUGUUUGGUAGCAGGCAGCCUUGUGGAGCACAUCUGCUCGAAGGACUGGGAGUGAGUGAAAUCCUUAAACAUGUCAACAUGUUUAUCUUUGCUUUGAUAAUGACGGGCAUCACGGCAUAUUCUCUCUAUUCUUUUUCCCUACUAUGUAUGUGUGUGAUCAUGUGUGCACCUGUACAUGUAUGCCUGUGUAUGUAGAGACCAGAGGUCAAAUUUGGGUGGCCUUCCCCAGACAUUUUGAGAUGGGGGCCUCCCACUGGUCUGGACUGGCCGAUUUGAGUUGGACAGCAGGACAGCAGUCAAGGGUCCGUCUAUUCCUGGCCCUUAGUUUGGGGACUAUACAUACAUGCCACUAGGCCCGGAUUCUAAGAAUCAGUCUCAGGCUUUGCUUGCUUGCUAUCCCAGGCCUCUGCCAGCUGAGUAGAGAGCUUCGCCUCUCCUCUUCUACUGUGACAUGCAAGACAUUUAUUAGUUACUACAUAGUCUCGUGUUUGCACAAGUAAUUUCUCAAGCAGAUAUUUGUUGUUUAGUUAGUUCAUUCAUUUAUUUAACUAAAAUGUAUUAACACUGCGCAUGUGUGUGUUCAGGCUUUGUAGUUAACCCUGAACCUCCCAGUUACAUUUUUAAAAAUUUCCUUGUAUAUAAUACCAGAAAUAUUUUUAGUCUACCUCACUGUUAGUAUUAUAAGGAGCAAAUAUGACAUCUGAGCUAAGAUAUAAAAAUGAACACAACUAAUAUACUAGGGGAGCUGUUGUUACCCUAAGUCCUAAGGGAUAGUGACAAGCACAGAAAAGGAUGGGACAGCAGAGCUGACUUGUUCUUCUCAUGCUGGGAGGACAAUCAUUUUAAGUGGCUUAAAUGUCUAAAUAACACAAAUAUUUAACAGAAAAUGAAAAAAAAAGUCAAACUAAACUUCUGAAUGUGACUUACAGAUUUCUCAAAAACCAAUAUACGCUAGCUCAGUGCUUCGAAACUGUGCACUCUGGAAAGUCGUGAUUAAUUGGUUAUUAGAACAAAAGCUCCACUGUGGAACAGACAGCCACAUGCCAAGCUAUUCUGAUUUUUGUUUUUAGAAAAUCCCUGAGACAAAUUCUAUUUUGCUUUGAAAUCUCCUACACUUAUAAAUUACGGUCUAGGCAGCAUGAAAGCAACAGCUACAUCCCGUGAGAAAUGUUCUGUAACGGUCACAGGGCCACUAAUAUUAUUAGUGAAUUUGUUUGUGAGGGACAAACAUGGCAUUCACAUGUAC